GGAAGCCGGACACUGUUUGUGGAAUUCGCCUGGAGCCUCUGCGCAGCGCCGCGCCCCAGCCGAGCGUUUGCCCCCGGCGCCCGGCCCGGGCUCCCAGCGCCCGGCGGGGCAGAGCUUGGAUGGGUUCUUGCUGGUGCUUCCUUGGAGUCCGCUCCCCGCUGAGUGCGAUGUCGCAAGGUACGCCUUCCAGGAACGGCUUCUGAAAAGCAAGCUGUUGCAGUCUGAGCCCCGGCUCCAGUGCCCCCUCUUUCCUAAAUUCUACACUUUUGGUUACACUGCCAAUAAGGAUACUGGACGACAAGGCGGGUUGCAAGAGCCUCAUCAAAGGAUUUGGUCAAAGCUGGACCCUUUGGGCGCUGAACACGGUUUUGUGAACAGCAGUGCAGUGCUCCAGAAUGUUUUAACUGUAACGUCUGCUUGUGCAGAUUUGCAAUGAAGAGUAUUGGGAAACAGUACUGCUGGAAGAGUAACAAUUUAACCGCAGGGUAAAGCAGUGGUCCUGAGCAAGGGGAGAGGUGGAGCCUCCUGGCUGGGCCAUAGCGCCCCCCUGAGGAGGUCUGGGGUGCAGCCCUGAGGGAGGAUGGCAGGAGCUUCCACCAGACCCGUGGCUGCCAUAAAGCCGGCCAUUAAGCCCCUCAUGUAGCCAGAGAGCUCCCCAGGUGGAAGAACCUGACCCACACAACAUGCUUCCUUGAAGUGACUUCAUCCCUGCCUCAGUUUACCCGCUCCUUCUCUGCAGCCCUGACAUUCAGUAAGCAGUUCACGGAUAGCCAUGGCCCGAGAUGAAUGAGCCAUCCCAUCGGCCCCGUCACUCUACUCACUGUACGGGAAUUCUGCUUUGAGGCCAAGAGACUCCUAUGCCUCCAAUCCCACCCUAGAUCUCAUUAAAAUAAGUGAAGAUAGGCCGGUGCCGCGGCUCACUAGGCUAAUCCUCCGCCUUGUGGUGCCGGCACACCAGGUUCUAGUCCCGGUCGGGGCACCGGAUUCUGUCCCGGUUGCCCCUCUUCCAGGCCAGCUCUCUGCUAUGGCCCGGGAGUGCAGUGGAGGAUGGCCCAGGUGCUUGGGCCCUGCACCCCAUGGGAGACCAGGAUAAGUACCUGGCUCCUGCCAUCGGAUCAGCAUGGUGCGCCGGCCGCAGCACGCUGGCCGCGGCGGCCAUUGGAGGGUGAACCAACGGCAAAGGAAGACCUUUCUCUCUGUCUCUCUCUCUCACUAUCCACUCUGCCUGUCAAAAAAAAAAAAUAAAUAAAAUAAGCGAAGAUAAUAAAUGAGAGAGACAAUAUGGCGGCAGGGGGUGGGGUUGGGCAUCUAAGCCCAGUUGUGGUAGGGAUUCCAGGAAAGAAAAACACAUGUGACCCUGCAGGAGCCCUGAGGGAGGGGAGACUGGAGACAGGGGAGACAUAAAGGAUGUUGCCAAGCCUGCCAAAUGGACCUGGUUGAGAACUCUGCACGCUUCUGUGCAAAUCACACUACUCCAACGUCAGCUUCCUGAUUUGUUCACGUAGCAUGCCUCAUUAGCAUACAGUUUCAGUUCCCUGAUUGGCUGUUAAGGGAUAACAGGGGCAUCCUGAUUGAUUGUUAUUCUGCCCUUCCUCUGAUUGAUUAACUCUGUACUCACUUUUGAGAAAGGGGCCAGUCGGGGAGAGCCACUUU
Oryctolagus cuniculus (rabbit) is the source of this 1653-nucleotide long non-coding RNA. RefSeq lists it as uncharacterized. NCBI's taxonomy places the organism in Eukaryota, Metazoa, Chordata, Mammalia, Lagomorpha, Leporidae. The record is from RefSeq and is a predicted model, not a curated record.